UACGUAGGGGGCAAGCGUUAUCCGGAUUUACUGGGUGUAAAGGGAGCGUAGACGGCAGCGCAAGUCUGGAGUGAAAUGCCGGGGCCCAACCCCGGAACUGCUCUGGAAACUGUGAAGCUGGAGUGCAGGAGAGGUAAGCGGAAUUCCCGGUGUAGCGGUGGAAUGCGCAGAUAUCGGGAAGAACACCGAUGGCGAAGGCAGAUCUCUGGGCCGCAACCGACGCUGAGGCGCGAAAGCUAGGGGAGCGAACAGG
RNAcentral lists this ribosomal RNA (253 nucleotides) under uncultured Eubacteriales bacterium. Its description in RNAcentral is "uncultured Clostridiales bacterium partial 16S ribosomal RNA". It matches the Rfam family "Bacterial small subunit ribosomal RNA", at positions 524 to 776 of the family's 1533-position model. Lineage: Bacteria; Bacillati; Bacillota; Clostridia; Eubacteriales. The record is from RNAcentral.